This 759-nucleotide ribosomal RNA is filed under the name uncultured Bacteroidales bacterium. Its description in RNAcentral is "bacterial SSU rRNA". It matches the Rfam family "Bacterial small subunit ribosomal RNA", at positions 30 to 776 of the family's 1533-position model. Lineage: Bacteria; Pseudomonadati; Bacteroidota; Bacteroidia; Bacteroidales. The record is from RNAcentral.
UGAACGCUAGCUACAGGCUUAACACAUGCAAGUCGAGGGGCAGCAUGGUCUUAGCUUGCUAAGGCUGAUGGCGACCGGCGCACGGGUGAGUAACACGUAUCCAACCUGCCGUCUACUCUUGGCCAGCCUUCUGAAAGGAAGAUUAAUCCAGGAUGGGAUCAUGAGUUCACAUGUCCGCAUGAUUAAAGGUAUUUUCCGGUAGACGAUGGGGAUGCGUUCCAUUAGAUAGUAGGCGGGGUAACGGCCCACCUAGUCAACGAUGGAUAGGGGUUCUGAGAGGAAGGUCCCCCACAUUGGAACUGAGACACGGUCCAAACUCCUACGGGAGGCAGCAGUGAGGAAUAUUGGUCAAUGGGCGAUGGCCUGAACCAGCCAAGUAGCGUGAAGGAUGACUGCCCUAUGGGUUGUAAACUUCUUUUAUAAAGGAAUAAAGUCGGGUAUGCAUACCCGUUUGCAUGUACUUUAUGAAUAAGGAUCGGCUAACUCCGUGCCAGCAGCCGCGGUAAUACGGAGGAUCCGAGCGUUAUCCGGAUUUAUUGGGUUUAAAGGGAGCGUAGAUGGAUGUUUAAGUCAGUUGUGAAAGUUUGCGGCUCAACCGUAAAAUUGCAGUUGAUACUGGAUGUCUUGAGUGCAGUUGAGGCAGGCGGAAUUCGUGGUGUAGCGGUGAAAUGCUUAGAUAUCACGAAGAACUCCGAUUGCGAAGGCAGCCUGCUAAGCUGCAACUGACAUUGAGGCUCGAAAGUGUGGGUAUCAAACAGG